AAAAUCCUUUUAUAUUUUUUUUUGAAAGGGAAAAAUUUGAACAAGGUUUCCGUAGGUGAACCUGCGGAAGGAUCAUUACCAGAGCGUGRAGACUCGGCCCCUCCACAGCGCAAGCUGGUGCGAGGGACACAUGCCGGGGUCGACCCUCCCCACCCGUGUCGACUCGUCUCCUGUUGCUUUGGCAGGCCGACUGCCUAGCGGUCCUCUGGCUCUCGGGCUGGAGUGCGCCUGCCAGAGACUAUUCAACUCGUGUUCUGGAUGAAGUCUGAGCAAUCAAGCAAUAAAAAUGAAUAAGUUAAAACUUUCAACAACGGAUCUCUUGGCUCUGGCAUCGAUGAAGAACGCAGCGAAAUGCGAUAAGUAAUGUGAAUUGCAGAAUUUAGUGAAUCAUCGAAUCUUUGAACGCACAUUGCGCCCCUGGGUACUCCUAGGGGCAUGCCUGUUCGAGCGUCAUAACAACCCGUCGAGCCGACUAGGCUUGGUCUUGGGGCUCGCCCGCAUUUGGCGCGGCGGCUCUUAAACGCAGUGGCGGUGCCGGUGGUGCUUUCCGCGUAGUCACAUUUCUCGCGCGAGGGCAGAAUCCGGACCCAGCCAGCAACCACAAAGUCCGCAGCGCUCUGCGCGGCGACUUUUGUACUUCUUCUGGUUGACCUCGAAUCAGGUAGGGAUACCCGCUGAACUUAAGCAUUCAAAAAACCGGAAGAAAAAAAAA
RNAcentral lists this ribosomal RNA (712 nucleotides) under Phyllactinia taurica. Its description in RNAcentral is "eukaryotic LSU rRNA". The stretch from base 300 to 453 matches the Rfam family "5.8S ribosomal RNA". The record is from RNAcentral. Lineage: Eukaryota; Fungi; Ascomycota; Leotiomycetes; Helotiales; Erysiphaceae.